Molecule: long non-coding RNA, 1155 nt
Organism: Triticum dicoccoides
Lineage: Eukaryota; Viridiplantae; Streptophyta; Magnoliopsida; Poales; Poaceae
Exons: 3
Source: RefSeq, a predicted model, not a curated record
ACACAAAAACCUCUCUGGCUCGAGAAAGAAGGAAAAAAUUGGCAUGAUCUGUUCGAUCUACUACAGUGCCUUCGUCCGUCAGGUGUGGGACAAGGGGAUCGAACUCCUAACCUUUGCUCUGUUACGAGCAACAACUACCACCGAGCUAGCAUCAGGUUGUGUUCCUAAGUUCUGAUUCGUCUGUCUAUUAAAUAGUCCCUUCUGCUUUCUAAAACCCUAACUGAUCAAUUUAUCUACUCCCUCCGUCCGAAAAUCUUGUCGGAGAAAUGGAUGUAUCUAGACAUACUUUAGUUCUAGAUACAUUCAUUUGCCGGAGGGAGUAUGUCUUUGACUUGAAAUCAGUAAACCACCUUGAGGUUCAAUAAGCAGAGUGUAGUGGGUCCUGUUUAAUUACAAAUAUCAUCAGGAAUGUAUUACCUCCAUUGAGGGCAUAUAUAUGAACGAGGGACAAGGCAAAUGGACGCCGGAACCGCAUAUACAUAUGAACAAGGCGGGAUUCAGGAAAGAAAAGAGAGGAAGCGAGGCGGGAUUGAGUUCUCUCGCACCAUGCGACGGAGGCGAGGGUCUGAUGGACGAGCGGCGCUGCCGAGAGGGAGAGAGACUGCCAUGGAGGAGAGUUUGGAGAGCCGCACCGUUGUGGGGGAAGGCAGAAGCACAUACGCCGCCGACUCGGAUCUUCCAACGUUUCUGAUGCAAAGCUAUAGCCACUAGAGGCUGGAGAGGUCCUAUGCAUCGCUGCUGCUAUUCAUGUCACUGGAAAGCUGAAAACUGCCAAGUCUGAUUGUUCUCUUUUAGUGUAUAUAUAGCCACCGUGGGAAGGCUAGCAGGACAAAUAUAUUGCAUCAUGUGAAGAAGCAAACAAAGCAGCAACAAGGUUCUAGAAGCCCGGUGUAGAUGCAGAUGAUGGCGAUGGUCAUGAAGACGAUCAGGCUCAGCCAUCCGCCAUGAACGUAUGCCCAAGAACAAACAAACAAUUAAUCAAGUGAAUGCAUCAAAAUGUGUACAUACAGGUGACAAGUGCUUGAACUACUAGCUAGCAUUGGGCUGUAUAUAUAGAUAGAAUAUUUCUUGCGCGGUUUUAUUUAUCUUUUGUGUCUGGUCACCCUGUAAUAUUACAAAAUCACUAAAAAAAUCAUGUGUUCAUAAAAUGUUGGG